AUGGACGUCGUGCAAACAAUCGCCUCGGCCGCGCAGCUGGUGUCUGCAAUGUUGUCCGCGGUGGGAGCGCUGGAGCAGGCGGCCGCGGACGCCGCUGAGGCUCCGAGGAGGCUCCAGGUGCUCGAGGAUUUCGUGUCGGACCUUGAGGUGUUGGUGCAGCAGGCUAAGCAGAAGCACGCGCACAAGAUGCACGGCCCGCAGCUGGAGCGUCAGUUUCAGAGCUUGAGCAGGCUCAUGGAUCAGCUGCGUGCCAAUAUCAUCAAGGCGAGGCGAGCCUUGAAGAAAGGGAAAGGGAAGGGCUUGGCUAGGGUGGUUUGGAGCUCGGUGGUGGGAGACCCCCUCAUGAAGUACAUUCAGCUGAUCAGAGAUGACCUCAACUGGUGGCUGGAAUUGCAGAGGUUGACAGAUAACGUCGGCAAUGCUAUAGCGUCUACUGCUAAGGGUACACCAUCGUUGGUCAGAGUCAAGUCUGAGCAGGGCUAUCCAGUGUCAGAGAAGUGUGACUAUGUUAGGGACAUUUUGGAGAGAGAUGAUGGUCAUCGAGUUGUCCUGAUUGUUGGAUUAUCUGGUAUUGGCAAGUCGUGCCUCGCUCGACAAAUUGCUUCUCAGCCGCCUGGUAAUUUUGUGGAUGGCGCAAUUGAGGUUAGUUUUGGCCGGUGGUGCAGUAGAGCAGCUUGUAAUGGAAGCAGAACUGAGUACCAUAAACGUCUUGUUAGGAAGAUAAGCAAAUUGCUAGUGCAGGUUGGUUCCAUGACUGUCAACGAGGGCACGAGCAAAGAUCUUGAAGAUGUAUGUUGCUUGCUUCAGACCGUGUUGGUUGGAAAGAGUAUGUUAAUACUCCUCGAUGACGUCUGGGAGCAAGACAUAGUUGAUCGCUUCACCAAGCUAUAUGAUAAUGAUUGCCGGUAUCUUGUGACAACAAGGGAUGAAGCUGUUUAUGAGAUAGCAGAGGCUGAAAAGGUAGAAAUAUCCAAAGAUGACAUCAAGAAAAUCAGCAAGGGCAUUCUUCUCUAUCAUAGUCUGCUUAGUGCUGAAGAGCUUCCGACUGUUGCAGACGACUUGCUGGACAGUUGUGGGCACCAUCCCCUAACAGUUGCUGUCUUGGGUAAGGCCCUAAGGAAGGAGACCAGAAUGGAAAAAUGGGAGAAAGCAAUAUCCAACCUUUCCACAUAUGCAACUUGUGCACCAGGUCCAGUUUCAUAUGUGAACGAGAAAGAAGUUGAGACCACCUUGACCAUAUUUGGAUCUUUUGAGUUCAGCUUGGAAGCAAUGCCUGAAAAUUCACAAAGGUUUUUCAUGGUUCUCGCAGCUAUUUCAUGGGAAGAACCUGUUCCAGAGGCAUGCCUUGAAUCCGUCUGGUCAGCACUUGUGCAGGACAGUUUAUUCCCUAUUGUAGUUUCAAAACUAGUAGAAGGCUCACUUGUCAUCAAACUGGAAUACCAGUCGAUGUAUCAUAUGCAUGACAUGGUUUCUCUCUACCUUGAGAACAAAGCAAAUGAUGCUGCUCAUACUCUUCUGACUGAUUCAUUUCCUGAGUAUGCUGCAUUGGUGGCUCCUUGGCUUUUUAUUUUUGGCAAAGAGACCGUGAAAGGGCCAGCUGAGCAGAAGAUGAGAUCAUUCUUUUCUUUGCUAGAGUUCAUGGAGAUUGAAAUUUUACUGGGAAGCACCACCCAAGCUCUCAUGGCAUGCAAAUCAAUAUCUGAAUUUGAGGCUAGCAGACUUGGCUUUAGCAAACUGCUUGGACCUCGAAUAGCGGAGCUAAUUUCUGUUGGGUCACAAGCUCUUAUCGUUGCUGUCACCAAAGCUAUUACAGUCGUCUUUUUCCAAGGAGACUAUGCAAAUCUCGCCCAAUCUAUUGAAACAGCAGGUUCUGUUGAUAAAUUAAUUUGUGUUCUUCGUGGCUAUGAGGAUUCUUCAUCUCUAGCCAACGUUUCUGCUGUUCUUGCCAAGGUAUCUGAGCAUGUUAGUGCCAAAACUGCCGACGAAAUUUUGGCAAGCAUUCCCAUGGACAGAAUUGCAGAACUACUGUCUCCAGAAAAUGAGGAGUGGCAUGAAAUUGUGUUCACAACUCUAGCAUCACUGAUAAAAGUGGGAAAUUUAAAGGCUGUCGAGAUAAUGAUCGAAGCAGGAGUUGACAAGAAGCUCCUUGUACUUUUAGGUUGCGGUUCUGAGAUCUCACAGCACCAUGCAAUUAUCAUGCUGAAAACUUUCUGCGAGCUUGGUGCACCACUUAAAGAGUGCAUGGGGCCUGGACUGUUGAUUCAUUUGCCAUGGCAUGCUCGGCUUGCCUUGGAGAGGUUUGUUUUAUCUGACCAAAAUGUAGCCCCAUCACCGAAGCCUCAAUAUUUUGAGGUGCUUCUUCACAGGAUUCUACAGACAGACAGCAAAGGUAUCAUUGAAGCUAUCCAAGGUUUAUUACCUCUUGCUGAGAGGGCUAACGAUCCUAGGGUGCAAGAUCUUCUUUUGGGAAGCAAUCUGUGUGAUAGGUUGGCAUUUCUGCUGCAGCGCAGAGAACCCGAAAACAACCAAGUGAGGUCUCAGACUGCCUUUCUGGUAAUGAAAUUGGCCUGCACCGGAGCAGAGCCAUACAUCCGUAGGUUCUUGGAGCUUAAUAUUGUGCACGAGCUCAUUGCCAUGAUGCAGUCCUCUACCAAUGACCUCCAGGAUUCAGCAUACCAUGCUCUCCAUCAGAUUGUGUAUGCAAAGGGAGGAUCAUUAGUCUUGCAGAGGUUUUUACAACUAGGGACUAUAGAAAAAUUGGUCAAUCUGCUCGACCGUAAGUGCGUCAAGACAAAGGAUCUCACGGUGCAACUUCUGGUGGACAUUGCGGCGGUCGGAACCAAACCCUGCAUACAAAGAAUGCUCUCUUCCCAAGUCAUCGAGAAACUUGUUUCCCUUGAGAAAGCAGGUGGGUCUUUCAGCGGGUCAGUGUCAAGAUAUAUCCACGGAUUGAACAUGUGCGAGAAUAUCCAGUCUGCUGAGAGAGCAGUGAUGAAGCAGCAUAUUUUGAGGAAAGUGAGAUCGGCGGUGAGAGGGCAUGAUCUGGAGACGAGUCUAAUUGCUUCUGUGGAGGUCUGCGUUUCUGAAGGCACAAAAGCAGCCAGCAGUAGCAGGAGAAACAAGUAG
Molecule: ribosomal RNA, 3126 nt
Filed under: Triticum aestivum (bread wheat)
Lineage: Eukaryota; Viridiplantae; Streptophyta; Magnoliopsida; Poales; Poaceae
Description: partial small subunit ribosomal RNA
Source: RNAcentral